AUUAAUUAAAAAAUAUAAAUGUAUUCAUAAAACUUAAAACACAUUAAAAACUAACAAUUUAGGAUUAAACAACAACAAUACUAAGAAUUCAAACAAAUUUAGUUAUAUAAUUAAAAUUUGGUGUACACAACAUAAUCAUAUUCAUGCCAAACUUAACACAAAAUAAAAUCAACACAAAAUUAUAUUUUUCUAAACAAACCGAUCCAUCAAACGCGGGCUUGCCCUAGUUUUAGUAAUAACAAUGUUUAUUAAUAAAUGUUAUUUUUGAAACCAUCACCUAUAGAACAUACUAUUCGAUUUCUUCACAGUCUAUACUAAAGCUACUAAUGCAAGAAACAAUAUAUAUUAGUUUUGAAACCAUGUCUUUUUAUAUCAUUUUGAAACCAUCUCAGUUUUGAAACUAUCAAGUAUACAUAUAUAUCAUGUAAAAUCUACAAAAAGGUGUCAAUUUAAUAUAGUGUAUUAAUAUUGAAAUAUUGUACAUAAGCAUAAGCAAUAAUAAUUUGUGUUAUUAGAUGU
RNAcentral lists this long non-coding RNA (519 nucleotides) under Brassica rapa (field mustard). RNAcentral describes it as "long non-coding RNA (BRAP_LNC000524)". The record is from RNAcentral. Lineage: Eukaryota; Viridiplantae; Streptophyta; Magnoliopsida; Brassicales; Brassicaceae.